GGUUAAGCGACUAAGCGUACACGGUGGAUGCCCUGGCAGUCAGAGGCGAUGAAGGGCGUGCUAAUCUGCGAUAAGCGCCGGUAAGGUGAUAUGAACCGUUAUAACCGGCGAUACCCGAAUGGGGAAACCCAGUGUGACUCGUCACACUAUCAUUAACUGAAUCCAUAGGUUAAUGAGGCGAACCGGGGGAACUGAAACAUCUAAGUACCCCGAGGAAAAGAAAUCAACCGAGAUUCCCCCAGUAGCGGCGAGCGAACGGGGAGGAGCCCAGAGCCUGAAUCAGCAUGUGUGUUAGUGGAAGCGUCUGGAAAGGCGCGCGAUACAGGGUGACAGCCCCGUACACAAAAGCGCAUGUGCUGUGAGCUCGAUGAGUAGGGCGGGACACGUGGUAUCCUGUCUGAAUAUGGGGGGACCAUCCUCCAAGGCUAAAUACUCCUGACUGACCGAUAGUGAACCAGUACCGUGAGGGAAAGGCGAAAAGAACCCCGGCGAGGGGAGUGAAAAAGAACCUGAAACCGUGUACGUACAAGCAGUGGGAGCCCCACCACCAAAGCAUUUGCUGUACCGCGUUGACGGAGCGAAGCGACGUCAAACCGAUAAAACAGCAGUGUAAAGUGAGCCGCAGGGCGCUUUGCGCGACAGCGCAAAGGCAGGCGGUUUCGCGUAGCGAAAGCGAAUGCUUUGGGGUGGGGUGACUGCGUACCUUUUGUAUAAUGGGUCAGCGACUUAUAUUCUGUAGCAAGGUUAACCGAAUAGGGGAGCCGGAGGGAAACCGAGUCUUAAUUGGGCGUUAAGUUGCAGGGUAUAGACCCGAAACCCGGUGAUCUAGCCAUGGGCAGGUUGAAGGUUGGGUAACACUAACUGGAGGACCGAACCGACUAAUGUUGAAAAAUUAGCGGAUGACCUGUGGCUGGGGGUGAAAGGCCAAUCAAACCGGGAGAUAGCUGGUUCUCCCCGAAAGCUAUUUAGGUAGCGCCUCGUGAAUUCAUCUCCGGGGGUAGAGCACUGUUUCGGCUAGGGGGCCAUCCCGGCUUACCAACCCGAUGCAAACUGCGAAUACCGGAGAAUGUUAUCACGGGAGACACACGGCGGGUGCUAACGUCCGUCGUGAAGAGGGAAACAACCCAGACCGCCAGCUAAGGUCCCAAAGUCAUGGUUAAGUGGGAAACGAUGUGGGAAGGCCCAGACAGCCAGGAUGUUGGCUUAGAAGCAGCCAUCAUUUAAAGAAAGCGUAAUAGCUCACUGGUCGAGUCGGCCUGCGCGGAAGAUGUAACGGGGCUAAACCAUGCACCGAAGCUGCGGCAGCGACACUGUGUGUUGUUGGGUA
RNAcentral lists this ribosomal RNA (1327 nucleotides) under Salmonella enterica. RNAcentral's name for it is "partial 23S ribosomal RNA". It matches the Rfam family "Bacterial large subunit ribosomal RNA", at positions 1 to 1230 of the family's 2925-position model. The record is from RNAcentral. Lineage: Bacteria; Pseudomonadati; Pseudomonadota; Gammaproteobacteria; Enterobacterales; Enterobacteriaceae. RNAcentral also lists the same sequence under 1 other name.